Long non-coding RNA from Cervus elaphus (red deer), 1144 nucleotides. RefSeq lists it as uncharacterized. NCBI's taxonomy places the organism in Eukaryota, Metazoa, Chordata, Mammalia, Artiodactyla, Cervidae. The transcript has 3 exons. The record is from RefSeq and is a predicted model, not a curated record.
GCAGCCUCAAAGGACAAACCUCCACCCAAGCAAAAAAUCCUCGUGGUAGCCUCCCAGACAAGUGACACGAGCUCUAGAGUCUCCAACCUGGGUGUGUUACAGCUGUCCAAGAUUUUGAACAAGUGGAUCUCUGUGAGCUCCUGUUUCUUCAUCUGUGAAUUGGAAACUAUAUCAGUCAAGACAGGUUAACUUAUGUCGCAGUCACAAACAAUUCCACAAUCUCAAUGACUUGUAAUAUUGAAUGCUUGUUUCUGAUACAUGCCUGUGUUCACUGUGGUUUUUUGGGUCCACUGUGGUUUGGCUCUGCUCCAUGUCAUCUCAGGGACCCAGGCUGAUGAAGCAGCCACCUUCUGGAGCUGGGCUGGUCAUUGAAGCAGAAGGAAGGAGACAGUGGUGAAGCGUGCAGGAGCUAUGAAAUGCAUUGGCCCGGACUUCGGAUCACAACUCACCAGCAAGAACUAGUCGAAUGAUCCCAGCCAUUACCAGGAAGCAAGGAGAUUAACCCUACCGUGUGCAAGAACUGAACAGUCAGAAGUAUUUGGGACCUCUGCAUCAAUUCCAGCUGUUUACAGCUGCAGAUACAGAAAGGGUAGUGGACUCGCCAGGCUUUACCCGAUGAACCAGUAGCUGAACACCCACGUCUCCAGGGCUCCAAAUUCUGAGCCCCGCAUCCCUCACUUGUUGGGGUGUAGGAGAAGGGGCUUUGCAUUCCCAGGGUUCUUGCAGCUGGGCAGCCCCUGGCAAGACAGAGAUGGGUGCCAUUCAUCCGACAAGCAUGAUGCCCUGUGCCGGCUCUCCAUAGACACGUGCACAAAAUCACAGCACAAGACUGGGGCCGAAAUGGGGAAAGCUGCUGGUGGAGUCAGGGAAGGCUUCCUGGAGGAGGUGGCAACUAGAGAGUGAUCAGGUUCUCUCCCUGGACCUAAGUCUUACUUGAAACACAACUUUCGGCUUGUUCAGCCUCCUCUCCCACCACUUACGCACUGGUAUUCUGUGCCGCGACCACGUGACACCCCUCACAAUCCUCAAAAAGGACUGGGUCCUCCCUAACCUCCACGGCUUUGCACUUGCCGGCUCCUCUUCUCUUUACAGGGAAUACUCUUAUUCAGCCUUCAAAACCCACAUCGGCAGUCAUAUCCUCCUU